RNAcentral lists this ribosomal RNA (492 nucleotides) under uncultured bacterium. RNAcentral's name for it is "partial 16S ribosomal RNA". It matches the Rfam family "Bacterial small subunit ribosomal RNA", at positions 29 to 507 of the family's 1533-position model. The record is from RNAcentral.
AGUGAACGCUGGCGGUAGGCCUAACACAUGCAAGUCGAACGGCAGCACAGUAAGAUCUUGCUCUUACGGGUGGCGAGUGGCGGACGGGUGAGGAAUACAUCGGAAUCUACUUUUUCGUGGGGGAUAACGUAGGGAAACUUACGCUAAUACCGCAUACGACCUACGGGUGAAAGCAGUGGAUCUUCGGACCUUGCGCGAUUGAAUGAGCCGAUGUCGCAUUAGCUAGUUGGCGUGGUAACGGCCCACCAAGGCGACGAUGCGUAGCUGACCUGAGAGGAGGAGCGGCCACAGUGGAACUGAGAGACGGGCCAGACUCAUAAGGGAGGCAGCAGUAGGGAAUCUUCCGCAAUGGGCGAAAGCCUGACGGAGCAACGCCGCGUGAGUGAUGAAGGUCUUCGGAUCGUAAAACUCUGUUAUUAGGGAAGAACAAAUGUGUAAGUAACUAGGCACGUCUUGACGGGACCUAAGCAGAAAGCCACGGCUAACUACGGG